GAGGAAGGCAGCCCUGGCGGGCCCAGUAAUUCCUGGCCGGGUGGACCUGGCCAGGGGCUGGUUUCAGUGAAGGCACUCACUCCCACCCCAGGCCCCAGUUCCUGGCCAGCUCUUGACAGAAGGAGAGGCUGGACUUUGGAAGGUGGGUGUGAGUGCCUUCAAUGAAACUGAUCCCUGCUACCCAGUCACCAGUGUGACAAGCUUUUGCUGUGUUGGGCACUUGCUCCCAUCUGCUUUCUUCUCUAGAAUCCACUGCCCUAGAAUGAGUAAUUUUUCUUAGAAGCAGAGUUGGAACCACUGAGGAAGCACAGUCAUCUGAUUCAUCCUGGUAGCAAUUCCAUUCUGCAUCUCCUCUGGACACCCACAGGACCACCAGAACAACACCAUCAUGGCCCUGUCACCAGGCCCAGUUUGGCUCCAUGAUAACCAAGACGCAGGUCCAGAGACAACCGCCCUGCUUGAUGCCUGCAUCUGACCUCCCUUGGUGGGUAGUGAUGAGCACAACAUGGAAGAAGCCAGGGCAGCUUGUGGCCAGCUGCCCUACAGCCCCAGAUGGCUGGGGACAAGGAUUCCAAAAGGAUGAUUUUAGAGCUGUAGGAUUGAAUGACUGGCCUGCUGGGUUUUGGAUGUUCAUGUAUCCUAUGAGUCCCAUCGGUGUUUGUUUUUCUUUCAGGCAAUUUUUCUUCUAUUGGCUGGGAAUGCUUACCCAUUGCCUGUACAAUCAUUGUACCUUGGAAGUAGUUAACUUGCUUUAUAAUUCAGAGGCUCAUGGGCAGAAGGGACUGUAUCCUUGUCCCAGAUAAAACUUUGGGCUUUGGACAUUUGCUGGAAUGAGUUAAGAUUUGGGGGACUGUAGGGAAGUCAUCAUUGUAUUUUGCAACGUGAGAAAGACAUAUGAGAUUUGCAUGGGCAGGGACAGAAUAAUAUGACUUGGCUCUGUGUCCCACUGCUGUGAAAUUGUAACGGGAAAUGUUAAAGGUGGUGGGGGCUGGUGGAAGGUGAUUUAAUCAUGGUGGAGAGUGGAG
Molecule: long non-coding RNA, 1025 nt
Filed under: Homo sapiens (human)
Lineage: Eukaryota; Metazoa; Chordata; Mammalia; Primates; Hominidae
Description: long non-coding RNA NONHSAT220951.1
Source: RNAcentral